RNAcentral lists this ribosomal RNA (464 nucleotides) under uncultured bacterium. RNAcentral describes it as "partial 16S ribosomal RNA". It matches the Rfam family "Bacterial small subunit ribosomal RNA", at positions 28 to 507 of the family's 1533-position model. The record is from RNAcentral.
GACGAACGCUGGCGGCGUGCUUAACACAUGCAAGUCGAACGGAAAGGCCCUGCUUGCAGGGUACUCGAGUGGCGAACGGGUGAGUAACACGUGGGUGAUCUGCCCUGCACUUCGGGAUAAGCCUGGGAAACUGGGUCUAAUACCGGGUAGGGGCCAUCUUUAGUGAGAUGGUUGGAAAGUUUUUUCGGUGUAGGAUGAGCUCGCGGCCUAUCAGCUUGUUGGUGGGGUAAUGGCCUACCAAGGCGGCGACGGGUAGCCGGCCUGAGAGGGUGGACGGCCACAUUGGGACUGAGAUACGGCCCAGACUCCUACGGGAGGCAGCAGUGGGGAAUAUUGCACAAUGGGCGGAAGCCUGAUGCAGCGACGCCGCGUGGGGGAUGACGGCCUUCGGGUUGUAAACUCCUUUCGCUAGGGACGAAGCUUUUGUGACGGUACCUAGAGAAGAAGCACCGGCUAACUACGUG